This is a long non-coding RNA of Gavialis gangeticus (Gharial), 204 nucleotides long. RefSeq lists it as uncharacterized. Lineage: Eukaryota; Metazoa; Chordata; Crocodylia; Gavialidae. The transcript has 3 exons. The record is from RefSeq and is a predicted model, not a curated record.
CCUGUGGCACCAACCCCGCAGGGUCCUGGCUGGAGGGUCUUGCCCCUGCACUCAGGCUCAGACCGAUGCUGCACUGGGGCAGGACGGGAUUUUCCCCCUGCUCAGACCAGUCGCAUAGGGCAGUUUUGCCUUCUUCUGCAGCGGGGGCACGGCCUUGGCCUGGGCUGUCUGGAGCAUCUACUAACUCCUCCUUGAGCGCUGCAA